GCGCACCUCGUCGAUGCACUCCGAGUUGAAAAGAAGAGGUUGAGCUGUUGAAAUAAAAAAUCAAUCGGUAGAAAGUGUUUGAUUGAUAGGAAAGGUGGAAAAGAAGUUUUAAUUGGUGAAAGUAUAAGAAGUGGUAGAGGAGAUGCGAAUCUGUGAGGAUAAUACCUGAUUUGUAAUAGUGAGACGCGAAAUAGGAGCAUUAAACGUUUGCCUCUGC
Molecule: long non-coding RNA, 217 nt
Filed under: Vigna radiata
Lineage: Eukaryota; Viridiplantae; Streptophyta; Magnoliopsida; Fabales; Fabaceae
Description: long non-coding RNA (VRAD_LNC010991)
Source: RNAcentral